RNAcentral lists this RNase P RNA (292 nucleotides) under Flavobacteriales bacterium TMED96. RNAcentral describes it as "RNase P RNA component class A". It matches the Rfam family "Bacterial RNase P class A". From Rfam's summary of the family: Ribonuclease P (RNase P) is a ubiquitous endoribonuclease, found in archaea, bacteria and eukarya as well as chloroplasts and mitochondria. The record is from RNAcentral. Lineage: Bacteria; Pseudomonadati; Bacteroidota; Flavobacteriia; Flavobacteriales.
GCAGGUCUUCUUAUCGCUCUAAUUUUAGAGAGGAAAGUCCGGACACCAUAGAGCAGUAUAGCGGGUAACACCCGUCGAUUAUCUUUGUGAUAAUUAGGACUAGUGCAACAGAAAGAAUGUACAGAUAAGGCUGUAGUGAAAUCAUGUAAACUCUAUACGGUGAAACGCCAAAUAAAUCUGCGCUUAAGAAUUGCUCGUUCUUUGUAGAAGGGUAGGCGGUUUGAGUUUUUAAGUAAUUAAAAACCAAGAUAAAUNAUAAGACUCGACAGAAUCCGGCUUAUGGCCUGCACUU